Long non-coding RNA from Electrophorus electricus (electric eel), 216 nucleotides. The record is from Ensembl. NCBI's taxonomy places the organism in Eukaryota, Metazoa, Chordata, Actinopteri, Gymnotiformes, Gymnotidae.
GCUGUUCAACCACACUAACCUGUAGGCCACCAUCUCCACAUGACUCGGACGACGAGGAUGAUUGACAGCUGUCAAAUCAACCAAUCAAAUCAAGCAAUAAAUCAUUUUGACGAAUCCAUCCUUAUAACCAACGACAUAGACAUCGGCACCAUUCCCCCACAUCACAGUGUCACCCCUUUCCACAUGGACACCACAAGGCGGCAGAUGAGGAGAUGA